GACGAACGCUGGCGGCAUGCCUAAUACAUGCAAGUCGAGCGGAGUUGAUGAGAAGCUUGCUUCUCUGAUACUUAGCGGCGGACGGGUGAGUAACACGUAGGCAACCUGCCCUCAAGCUUGGGACAACUACCGGAAACGGUAGCUAAUACCGAAUACUUGUUUUCUUCGCCUGAAGGAAACUGGAAAGACGGAGCAAUCUGUCACUUGGGGAUGGGCCUGCGGCGCAUUAGCUAGUUGGUGAGGUAACGGCUCACCAAGGCGACGAUGCGUAGCCGACCUGAGAGGGUGAUCGGCCACACUGGGACUGAGACACGGCCCAGACUCCUACGGGAGGCAGCAGUAGGGAAUCUUCCGCAAUGGGCGAAAGCCUGACGGAGCAAUGCCGCGUGAGUGAUGAAGGUUUUCGGAUCGUAAAGCUCUGUUGCCAGGGAAGAACGCUUGGGAGAGUAACUGCUCCCAAGGUGACGGUACCUGAGAAGAAAGCCCCGGCUAACUACGUGCCAGCCGCCGCCGUAA
This 516-nucleotide ribosomal RNA is filed under the name uncultured bacterium. RNAcentral describes it as "partial 16S ribosomal RNA". It matches the Rfam family "Bacterial small subunit ribosomal RNA", at positions 28 to 523 of the family's 1533-position model. The record is from RNAcentral.